RNAcentral lists this ribosomal RNA (681 nucleotides) under uncultured nitrite-oxidizing bacterium. RNAcentral describes it as "bacterial SSU rRNA". It matches the Rfam family "Bacterial small subunit ribosomal RNA", at positions 21 to 696 of the family's 1533-position model. The record is from RNAcentral.
GGCUCAGGACGAACGCUGGCGGCGCGCCUAAUACAUGCAAGUCGAGCGAGAAGGUGUAGCAAUACACUUGUAAAGCGGCGAACGGGUGAGGAAUACAUGGGUAAUCUACCAUCGAGUGGGGAAUAACCAGCCGAAAGGUUGGCUAAUACCGCGUACGCCUCCGGAUCUUCGGGUUCGGAGGGAAAGCCGCACUGUGAGUGCGGCGCUCUUUGAUGAGCUCAUGUCCUAUCAGCUUGUUGGUAGGGUAACGGCCUACCAAGGCUUUGACGGGUAGCUGGUCUGAGAGGACGAUCAGCCACACUGGCACUGCGACACGGGCCAGACUCCUACGGGAGGCAGCAGUAAGGAAUAUUGCGCAAUGGGCGAAAGCCUGACGCAGCGACGCCGCGUGGGGGAUGAAGGUCUUCGGAUUGUAAACCCCUUUCGGGAGGGAAGAUGGAACGAGCAAUCGUUCGGACGGUACCUCCAGAAGCAGCCACGGCCAACUUCGUGCCAGCAGCCGCGGUAAUACGAAGGUGGCAAGCGUUGUUCGGAUUCACUGGGCGUACAGGGUGUGUAGGCGGUUUGGUAAGCCUUCUGUUAAAGCUUCGGGCCCAACCCGGAAAGCGCAGAGGGUACUGCCAGGCUAGAGGGUGGGAGAGGAGCGCGGAAUUCCCGGUGUAGCGGUGAAAUGCGUAGAGA